UUCGGUACUCACCAAGUAAGGGUACUCACUUUGAAAGGGAGAUGGUGGGAUGGGAUUUUUAUUAAUUAGAUCGAGUGAAUUUUUCAUAAUGCCCCUACUUUCUUUUCUAGAAAAGGUUGGACAAAUUCUGCUCUUGCUUUACCAUAAUUCCCAUAAUUUCUUUAUCUUGACCAUGAAGUGCCAUAGGAUGAUCUUUUCCUAUUCUACUCUUACUUGACAGAAUAAAAGUAUUAUUAAGCAUUAUCUCAGUUAUUUAAUCAGUUUCAUGGCUCUUUUCUUAGGUUAAUUACUUUUCUAUAUUUUUAUUCAAAAAUUAUAUUAAAUUGAAAAGACUUCUUAUCUAUUGUUAUUAGAUUCGUGUAUCUUUAUUGGAAUAUUAUACUUGAUUACUAUCUAUUUUUAUAUCAUUUUUAAAAAAUAUUUUAUACUUAUUUAAAAUUUUAUUAUUAAAAAAAAGGCCUCAUCUAUUGGAUUCGCCUUAGGCCCCCAAAUGUAUUGGGCCGCCCCUGCAUGU
Molecule: long non-coding RNA, 514 nt
Filed under: Phoenix dactylifera (date palm)
Lineage: Eukaryota; Viridiplantae; Streptophyta; Magnoliopsida; Arecales; Arecaceae
Description: long non-coding RNA (PDAC_LNC014596)
Source: RNAcentral